This 993-nucleotide ribosomal RNA is filed under the name uncultured bacterium. RNAcentral describes it as "bacterial SSU rRNA". It matches the Rfam family "Bacterial small subunit ribosomal RNA", at positions 355 to 1375 of the family's 1533-position model. The record is from RNAcentral.
UGGGGAAUAUUGCACAAUGGAGGAAACUCUGAUGCAGCGAUGCCGCGUGAGGGAAGAAGGUUUUAGGAUUGUAAACCUCUGUCUUCAGGGACGAAAAAAGACGGUACCUGAGGAGGAAGCUCCGGCUAACUACGUGCCAGCAGCCGCGGUAAUACGUAGGGAGCGAGCGUUGUCCGGAAUUACUGGGUGUAAAGGGAGCGUAGGCGGGAUCGCAAGUCAGAUGUGAAAACUAUGGGCUUAACCCAUAAACUGCAUUUGAAACUGUGGUUCUUGAGUGAAGUAGAGGUAAGCGGAAUUCCUAGUGUAGCGGUGAAAUGCGUAGAUAUUAGGAGGAACAUCAGUGGCGAAGGCGGCUUGCUGGGCUUUUACUGACGCUGAGGCUCGAAAGUGUGGGGAGCAAACAGGAUUAGAUACCCUGGUAGUCCACACCGUAAACGAUGAUUACUAGGUGUGGGCGCGAUAAGCGUCCGUGCCGGAGUUAACACAAUAAGUAAUCCACCUGGGGAGUACGGCCGCAAGGUUGAAACUCAAAGGAAUUGACGGGGGCCCGCACAAGCAGUGGAGUAUGUGGUUUAAUUCGAAGCAACGCGAAGAACCUUACCAGGUCUUGACAUCGUGCGCAUAGUCUAGAGAUAGAUGAAGUCUUUCGGGACGCAUAGACAGGUGGUGCAUGGUUGUCGUCAGCUCGUGUCGUGAGAUGUUGGGUUAAGUCCCGCAACGAGCGCAACCCUUACGAUUAGUUGCUACGCAAGAGCACUCUAAUAGGACUGCCGUUGACAAAACGGAGGAAGGUGGGGAUGACGUCAAAUCAUCAUGCCCCUUAUGACCUGGGCGACACACGUACUACAAUGGCAAUGACAGAGGGAAGCAAGAUAGCGAUAUGGAGCAAACCCCUAAACAUUGUCCCAGUUCGGAUUGCAGGCUGCAACCCGCCUGCAUGAAGCCGGAAUUGCUAGUAAUCGCGGAUCAGCAUGCCGCGGUGAAUACGUUCCC